Molecule: ribosomal RNA, 620 nt
Filed under: uncultured Bacillus sp.
Lineage: Bacteria; Bacillati; Bacillota; Bacilli; Caryophanales; Bacillaceae
Description: bacterial SSU rRNA
Rfam family: Bacterial small subunit ribosomal RNA
Source: RNAcentral
AAAACUCUGUUGUCAGGGAAGAACAAGUACCGUUCGAACAGGGCGGUACCUUGACGGUACCUGGCCAGAAAGCCACGGCUAACUACGUGCCAGCAGCCGCGGUAAUACGUAGGUGGCAAGCGUUGUCCGGAAUUAUUGGGCGUAAAGCGCGCGCAGGCGGUCUUUUAAGUCUGAUGUGAAAGCCCACGGCUCAACCGUGGAGGGUCAUUGGAAACUGGAGGACUUGAGUGCAGAAGAGGAGAGCGGAAUUCCACGUGUAGCGGUGAAAUGCGUAGAGAUGUGGAGGAACACCAGUGGCGAAGGCGGCUCUCUGGUCUGUAACUGACGCUGAGGCGCGAAAGCGUGGGGAGCGAACAGGAUUAGAUACCCUGGUAGUCCACGCCGUAAACGAUGAGUGCUAAGUGUUAGAGGGUUUCCGCCCUUUAGUGCUGCAGCAAACGCAUUAAGCACUCCGCCUGGGGAGUACGGCCGCAAGGCUGAAACUCAAAGGAAUUGACGGGGGCCCGCACAAGCGGUGGAGCAUGUGGUUUAAUUCGAAGCAACGCGAAGAACCUUACCAGGUCUUGACAUCCUCUGCCACUCCUGGAGACAGGAGGUUCCCCUUCGGGGGACAGAGUGAC